CCAGCUUUGGCAUAAUCGGUUAGCGCGUUCGGCUGUUAACCGAAAGGUUGGUGGUUCGAGCCCACCCAGGGA
RNAcentral lists this transfer RNA (72 nucleotides) under Pangasianodon hypophthalmus (striped catfish). Its description in RNAcentral is "tRNA-Asn". The stretch from base 8 to 66 matches the Rfam family "tRNA", at positions 8 to 63 of the family's 71-position model. From Rfam's summary of the family: Transfer RNA (tRNA) molecules are approximately 80 nucleotides in length. The record is from RNAcentral. Lineage: Eukaryota; Metazoa; Chordata; Actinopteri; Siluriformes; Pangasiidae.